RNAcentral lists this ribosomal RNA (339 nucleotides) under Clostridioides difficile. Its description in RNAcentral is "partial 23S ribosomal RNA". It matches the Rfam family "Bacterial large subunit ribosomal RNA", at positions 2584 to 2925 of the family's 2925-position model. Lineage: Bacteria; Bacillati; Bacillota; Clostridia; Peptostreptococcales; Peptostreptococcaceae. The record is from RNAcentral.
CCCAUUAAAGUGGUACGCGAGCUGGGUUCAGAACGUCGUGAGACAGUUCGGUCCCUAUCCGUCGCAGGCGUAGGAAAUUUGAGAAGACCUGUCCUUAGUACGAGAGGACCGGGAUGGACGUACCUCUGGUGUACCAGUUGUCCUGCCAAGGGCAUGGCUGGGGAGCUAUGUACGGAAUGGAUAAGCGCUGAAAGCAUCUAAGCGCGAAGCCAACUUCAAGAUAAGAUUUCCCACCGCAAGGGUAAGACCCCAGAAAGACUAUCUGGUUGAUAGGUCGAAGGUGUAAGUGCAGCAAUGUAUUUAGCUUAUCGAUACUAAUAGGUCGAGGACUUGACCAAU